RNAcentral lists this unclassified non-coding RNA (375 nucleotides) under uncultured Gammaproteobacteria bacterium. RNAcentral describes it as "contains 16S-23S intergenic spacer region". The record is from RNAcentral. Lineage: Bacteria; Pseudomonadati; Pseudomonadota; Gammaproteobacteria.
UCCGGUUCCUCACCGGCAGUCUCCUUAGAGUCCCCAACUUAAUGCUGGCAACUAAGGACAAGGGUUGCGCUCGUUACGGGACUUAACCCAACAUCUCACAACACGAGCUGACGACAGCCAUGCAGCACCUGUCUCUAGGUUCCUUUCGGCACUCCAAGCUCUCACUCGGAUUCCUAGGAUGUCAAGGGUAGGUAAGGUUCUUCGCGUUGCAUCGAAUUAAACCACAUGCUCCACCGCUUGUGCGGGCCCCCGUCAAUUCCUUUGAGUUUCAACCUUGCGGCCGUACUUCCCAGGCGGAAGACUUAUCGCGUUAGCUUCGAUACUGCUGAGUUCCCCCAACAACAUCUAGUCCUCAUCGUUUACAGCGUGGACUAC